CAGCAGCCGCGGUAAUACGUAGGACGCGAGCGUUAUCCGGAUUUACUGGGCGUAAAGCGCGUGCAGGCGGUAUGGUAAGUCGGACGUGAAAGCUCCCGGCUCAACUUCAAAAUCGCAGUCGAAACUGUUUGACUAGAGUAUAGUAGGGGUAAAGGGAAUUUCCAGUGGAGCGGUGAAAUGCGUAGAUAUCGGGAGGAAUACCAAUGGCGAAGGCAGGUUCCUGGACCAAUACUGACACUAAUCUGCGAAAGCUGGGGGAGCAAACAGGAUUAGAUACCCUGGUAGUCCCAGCUGUAAACGAUGCUCACUAGGUGUGGGAGGUAUCGACCCCUUCCGCGCCGACGCUAACGCAUUAAGUGAGCCGCCUGGGGAGUACGGCCGCAAGGUUGAAACUCAAAGGAAUUGACGGGGGCUCGCACAAGCGGUGGAUCAUGUGGCUUAAUUCGAUGCUACACGAAGAACCUUACCAAGACUUGAAAUCCAAAUGACGAUCUUAGGAAACUAAGAUUUCCUUCGGGCAUUUGGCAGGUGUUGCAUGGCCGUCGUCAGUUCGAGAUUUGAAUUGUUCCCUUAAGUGGGGAAACGAACGCAACCCCUAUUGUCUGUUAUACGUGUCAGGCGAGACUGCUACCUCACGGUAGAGGAAGGUGGGGAUGACGCCAGGUCAGCAUGACCUUUAUGUCUUGGGCUGCACACAUGAUACAAUGGUUAUUACAACGGGACGCAAUAUCGUAAGAUGGAGCAAAUCCUAAUAAAGAUAGCCUAAGUUCGGAUUGAGGUCUGCAAUUUGACCUCAUGAAGUUGGAAUCGCUAGUAAUCGCAGGUCAGCUAUACUGCGGUGAAUACGUUCUCGAGCCUUGUACUCACCGCCCGUCAAGUCAAGGAAGCCGGGAGUGCUCAAAGUCCCAUUUCGGUGGGCCUACAGUAAACUCGGUAACAGGGGCUAAGUCGUAACAAGGUAACCGUA
RNAcentral lists this ribosomal RNA (967 nucleotides) under uncultured Microgenomates group bacterium. RNAcentral's name for it is "bacterial SSU rRNA". It matches the Rfam family "Bacterial small subunit ribosomal RNA", at positions 509 to 1504 of the family's 1533-position model. The record is from RNAcentral.